This 253-nucleotide ribosomal RNA is filed under the name uncultured bacterium. Its description in RNAcentral is "partial 16S ribosomal RNA". It matches the Rfam family "Bacterial small subunit ribosomal RNA", at positions 524 to 776 of the family's 1533-position model. The record is from RNAcentral.
UACGUAGGGUGCAGGCGUUAAUCGGAAUUACUGGGCGUAAAGCGUGCGCAGGCGGCCUCUUAAGUCAGAUGUGAAAUCCCCGGGCUUAACCUGGGAACUGCGUCCGAUACUGGCAGGCUUGAAUCCGGGAGAGGGAUGUGGAAUUCCAGGUGUAGCGGUGAAAUGCGUAGAUAUCUGGAGGAACACCGGUGGCGAAGGCGGCAUCCUGGACCAACACUGACGCUGAGGCGCGAAAGCUAGGGGAGCAAACGGG